Long non-coding RNA from Pongo pygmaeus (Bornean orangutan), 672 nucleotides. RefSeq lists it as uncharacterized. The transcript is spliced from 3 exons. The record is from RefSeq and is a predicted model, not a curated record. Lineage: Eukaryota; Metazoa; Chordata; Mammalia; Primates; Hominidae.
GAAGACCCCACGGUAGGGGCGGGACCCAAGAUGGCCGCUUGUCUGGGGACAGGAGCGGCGGCCAAUACACGCAGAGCAUGCGCCUACGCCGGGCCAAUUGAAAGCCAUAGUGACAGUAACCCUGAUUCAGGGGCGGGAAACACUGACCACAGAAGACAAGUUGAGGGAGAACAAAGGUUAACCACUGACAUCAGCUUCAGUCACCCAAAAGCCAGAUGAUACCAGAGGAAGACAACAGCCAGAUGAUACCAGAUAGCCAGAUGAUACCAGAGGAAGACAACAGCCAGAUGAUACCAGAGGAGUUAAUAUUAACAAGAACAAGCUGUCAUGUUAUGAAGACACUCAAGCAGCCCAUUGGAGAGGCCCACAUGAUGAGGAACUGAGGCCUCCUGCCAAAAACCAUGUAAACAAACCAUCUUGGAAGUGGAUCUUCCAGCCCCAGUCAAGAUUUUAAAUGACUGCAACCCUGGCCAAUGUCUUGAUCACAAUAUCAUGAGAGACCAUAAACCAGAGCCACCCAGUUAAGCUUCUUCAUAAUCUUGCACCCACAGAAACUGAGAUAACAAAUGUUUGUUGUUUUAAGCUAGUAAAUUUUGGGAUAAUUUAUUAUGUGGUCAGGAGUUCAAGACCAGCCUGGCCAACAUGGUGAAACUCUGUCUCUAAUAAAACUAC